This 493-nucleotide ribosomal RNA is filed under the name uncultured bacterium. RNAcentral's name for it is "bacterial SSU rRNA". It matches the Rfam family "Bacterial small subunit ribosomal RNA", at positions 23 to 518 of the family's 1533-position model. The record is from RNAcentral.
GUCAGGAUGAACGCUGGCGGCGUGCCUAACACAUGCAAGUCGAACGGAGUAAUUAAGCGGAAGUUUCGGAUGGAAGCAUAGUUACUUAGUGGCGGACGGGUGAGUAACGCGUGGGCAACCUGCCCUGUACCGGGGGAUAACACUUAGAAAUAGGUGCUAAUACCGCAUAAGCGCACAGCUUCGCAUGAAGGUGUGUGAAAAACUCCGGUGGUACAGGAUGGACCCGCGUCUGAUUAGCUAGUUGGUGGGGUAGAGGCCUACCAAGGCGACGAUCAGUAGCCGGCCUGAGAGGGUGACCGGCCACAUUGGGACUGAGACACGGCCCAAACUCCUACGGGAGGCAGCAGUGGGGAAUAUUGCACAAUGGGGGAAACCCUGAUGCAGCGACGCCGCGUGAGUGAAGAAGUAUUUCGGUAUGUAAAGCUCUAUCAGCAGGGAAGAAAAUGACGGUACCUGACUAAGAAGCCCCGGCUAACUACGUGCCAGCCGCCGC